UACGUAGGCAGCAAGCGUUGUUCGGAAUUACUGGGCGUAAAGAGCGUGUAGGCGGCCAGACAGGUCCGUUGUGAAAACUCGAGGCUCAACCUCGAGACGCCGAUGGAAACCGUCUGGCUAGAGUCCGGAAGAGGAGAGUGGAAUUCCUGGUGUAGCGGUGAAAUGCGCAGAUAUCAGGAAGAACACCCGUGGCUAAGGCGGCUCUCUAGUACGGUACUGACGCUGAGACGCGAAAGCGUGGGGAGCGAACAGG
This 253-nucleotide ribosomal RNA is filed under the name uncultured bacterium. RNAcentral's name for it is "partial 16S ribosomal RNA". It matches the Rfam family "Bacterial small subunit ribosomal RNA", at positions 524 to 776 of the family's 1533-position model. The record is from RNAcentral.